CCUACGGGAGGCAGCAGUAGGGAAUCUUUCACAAUGGGCGAAAGCCUGAUGGAGCAACGCCGCGUGCAGGAUGAAGGCCUUCGGGUUGUAAACUGCUUUUAUAAGCGAGAAAUAUGAUGGUAACUUAUGAAUAAGGAUCGGCUAACUACGUGACAGCAGCCGCGGUCAUACGUAGGAUCCGAGCAUUAUCCGGAGUGACUGGGUGUAAAGAGUUGUGUUGGGGGCAUAAUAAGUAGCUAGUGAAAUCUGGUGGCUCAACCAUUCAGACUAUUAGCUAAACUGUUAAGCUCGAGACCGUUAGGGGUAACUGGAAUUUCUGGUGUAGGAGUGAAAUCCGUAGAUAUUAGAAGGAACACCGAUAGCGUAGGCAGGUUGCUGGGACGGUUCUGACACUAAGGCACGAAAGCGUAGGGAGCAAACGGGAUUAGAUACCCCAGUAGUC
This 442-nucleotide ribosomal RNA is filed under the name uncultured bacterium. RNAcentral's name for it is "partial 16S ribosomal RNA". It matches the Rfam family "Bacterial small subunit ribosomal RNA", at positions 338 to 795 of the family's 1533-position model. The record is from RNAcentral.